UACGAAGGGGGCUAGCGUUGCUCGGAAUUACUGGGCGUAAAGGGCGCGUAGGCGGAUAGUUUAGUCAGAGGUCAAAGCCCAGGGCUCAACCUUGGAACUGCCUUUGAUACUGGCUAUCUUGAGUACGGGAGAGGUGUGUGGAACUCCGAGUGUAGAGGUGAAAUUCGUAGAUAUUCGGAAGAACACCAGUGGCGAAGGCGACACACUGGCCCGUUACUGACGCUGAGGCGCGAAAGCGUGGGGAGCAAACAGG
RNAcentral lists this ribosomal RNA (253 nucleotides) under uncultured bacterium. Its description in RNAcentral is "partial 16S ribosomal RNA". It matches the Rfam family "Bacterial small subunit ribosomal RNA", at positions 524 to 776 of the family's 1533-position model. The record is from RNAcentral.